Molecule: unclassified non-coding RNA, 912 nt
Filed under: Fusarium pseudoanthophilum
Lineage: Eukaryota; Fungi; Ascomycota; Sordariomycetes; Hypocreales; Nectriaceae
Description: partial contains 28S ribosomal RNA, 28S-18S ribosomal RNA intergenic spacer, and 18S ribosomal RNA
Source: RNAcentral
CUGUGCGUCCGUCCAGGGGGGGAUAAGUAGAAAAUGCAGAGGUAUAGGGUAGGUAGUCACACCCACGACCCGUUCACCUCGUCCGUCGAUUCGUCUUUAUAUGAGGGACAGGUCUAGGGUAGGCCAAGGUCAGGUCUAGGGUAGGCGACUUCCCACCUCAAAGCUGCCUACCCGGUAGUCAACUUCGAUCACCUCUCACGGCCGCCACGGACCUCGCACGAAGAUGGGACCACCUCCAUCGCAUUCGCCUUGGUCGAGAUAGUCGGUAUACGCACUUUUGAAAAAAUGCGUGCAAAAUGGUUUUGUGGUUUGGUGGCCGUGAGUCGAUUUUUUUGUUUUCCCAUACAAAUGAAUUUUGCGGAAAAUAAAAAGUGGCCCACGAGGCAGUCCUGGCGUGCGGCCCACUAAAACGGUCUCGGAGGGUAUAUGAGAAGGGAGCAAAUCCGGCCGAGCCUGAAAGGGCGAGGGAAAACCGGACGAGCAACCUCUCGUACCUGAUCUUGAAGACUUCCACUGCGUGUCCCUCUGUACAGCUUUGCAGGCUCCGGCCUCGGCAGCGGGGGGUUCAUAGUGGUCGUCGACCUCCACGAAACUGCACGCUCCGGCGUGACAGCGUACUGGGGAUGCCUGUGUUUACGCAGUCCGGGCUUGCCUGGACCGCCAGCAGAUGGGCUCUGUGGAUGACUGGCCGCUGGCUAGACCUGAAACCUGAGCAACGGGAGGUAACCUCUCGCCGCGGACACCGGAAUGGUAGAAGCGGCGUGCUGCGUCCUCCUCUUGGGGCCCCUAAGCCACACCUCCCACAGCGGGUUCGGUGCGGCGGACGGACGCCCUGGGGAAUUUAGAGGGGGAAAGCGGAUUGCCCUAGCGGUGUUGUUGGCCCUGCCGACCUCACUGCGAAAGGCGCGACUU